Etheostoma cragini (Arkansas darter) is the source of this 117-nucleotide long non-coding RNA. RefSeq lists it as uncharacterized. The record is from RefSeq and is a predicted model, not a curated record. NCBI's taxonomy places the organism in Eukaryota, Metazoa, Chordata, Actinopteri, Perciformes, Percidae. The transcript is spliced from 3 exons.
CUUAUGCUGCGUUCCAGACACAGUUUUUAGCCCGUAAGUUAUGACUUCAAGUCACGACUUGGUAGCGUUCCGGGCAAAGUAACAAUAAACCCUUCUAGCUUGCUAAAACAUUGUGCC